UGGGGGAUAUUGCACAAUGGGGGAAACCCUGAUGCAGCAACGCCGCGUGAAGGAAGAAGGUCUUCGGAUUGUAAACUUUUGUCUUGCGGGACGAAUAAUGACGGUACCGCAGGAGGAAGCCACGGCUAACUACGUGCCAGCAGCCGCGGUAAUACGUAGGUGGCGAGCGUUGUCCGGAAUUACUGGGUGUAAAGGGUGCGUAGGCGGAUUUGCAAGUCAUGUGUGAAAACUAUCGGCUUAACCGGUAGCCUGCACUUGAAACUGUGAGUCUUGAGUGGUUAAGAUGUAAGCGGAAUUCCUAGUGUAGCGGUGAAAAGCGUAGAUAUUAGGAGGAACACCAGUGGCGAAGGCGGCUUACUGGGCACUAACUGACGCUGAGGCACGAAAGCAUGGGGAGCAAACA
Molecule: ribosomal RNA, 403 nt
Filed under: uncultured prokaryote
Description: bacterial SSU rRNA
Rfam family: Bacterial small subunit ribosomal RNA
Source: RNAcentral